UCCCACCCAGAGGCUUUAAAUGUCUGACAACUUCCUGGUAGAAAUAUUGCUAUGCAGGAAAACCUCAGAUGCCUGUCUCUUAAGUUUAAACCUAUGUAUAACAAAAAGGCCUUCAUACACCACUACACUAGAGAGGGCUUAAGUGAAUCCGAAUUCACUGAAGCACAAGAAGAUUUAAAUGAUUUGAUUUCUGAUUAUCAGAGUUUUCAGGAUUGCGGAAAAGGGGAGGAAAAAAAAAAAUCUAAAUCAAACAAAAAGCGAGCAUCUCAGAAUGCAAAGAAAUAUUCAAGAGACGGAUCUCUCAGAGACAAUGCUUCAAAGACGACUACAGAACUUGGACCACCACCACCACCUAAUAAUGGGGGAAAGCCAAGCACUUCAAGGAAAUUUAAGCCCCCAAAUGAAACAAGAUCAGACACUAAUCAACCAAGAAAGGUGAACUCCAAAGUGAAAUCUUGUAACAAACCAGAAGUAGUAUAUAAUUGCUGUAUCAGCAGUUAUUUAUUCGUCUCAAAUUAAGAUCUUCAGAAGGAACUAGAAGCUGGAGAGACAGUAAUUCCUUCCUCUACAGUGUGGCUUAAGCUCUAUGAAGAUGGAAGAACAGUGGAAAGGCCAAAAAAAAAAGUUGACAAUUGUUGCAUCGAAGGGUAAAAAAUUGUCAACUUGAUAAUGCAAAGACUAAAUACAUAGUACUGGAAAAAGGUAAAUUUUUUUCUCACUUUGAUGAAACUCACAUUUCAUUCAAGUCAAUAAUAAAACUCUUCUCAAAAGAACGUGAACCCA
This 783-nucleotide long non-coding RNA is filed under the name Monodelphis domestica (gray short-tailed opossum). Its description in RNAcentral is "lncRNA (ENSMODG00000031872.2)". Lineage: Eukaryota; Metazoa; Chordata; Mammalia; Didelphimorphia; Didelphidae. The record is from RNAcentral.